AUAUCAAUAAGCGGAGGAAAAGAAACCAACAGGGAUUGCCCCAGUAACGGCGAGUGAAGCGGCAACAGCUCAAAUUUGAAAUCUGGCCCCCCCCGCGGGGACCCGAGUUGUAAUUUGCAGAGGAUGCUUUUGGCGCGGCGCCUUCCGAGUUCCCUGGAACGGGACGCCAUAGAGGGUGAGAGCCCCGUCUGGUCGGACGCCUAGCCUCUGUAAAGCUCCUUCGACGAGUCGAGUAGUUUGGGAAUGCUGCUCUAAACGGGAGGUAUAUGUCUUCUAAAGCUAAAUACCGGCCAGAGACCGAUAGCGCACAAGUAGAGUGAUCGAAAGAUGAAAAGCACUUUGAAAAGAGGGUUAAACAGUACGUGAAAUUGUUGAAAGGGAAGCGCUUGUGACCAGACUUGGGCGCGGCGAAUCAUCCGGCGUUCUCGCCGGUGCACUUCGCCGCGCCCGGGCCAGCAUCAGUUCGCGGCGGGGGACAAAGGCGCCGGGAACGUGGCUCCCCCGGGAGUGUUAUAGCCCGGCGCGCAAUGCCCCGCGGCGGACUGAGGUUCGCGCAUCCGCAAGGAUGCUGGCGUAAUGGUCACCAGUGACCCGUCUUGAAACACGGACCAAGGAGUCGUCCUCGUAUGCGAGUGUUCGGGUGUCAAACCCCUACGCGCAAUGAAAGUGAACGCAGGUGAGAGCCUCACGGCGCAUCAUCGACCGAUCCUGAUGUUCUCGGAUGGAUUUGAGUAAGAGCAUACGGGGCCGGACCCGAAAGAAGGUGAACUAUGCCUGUGUAGGGUGAAGCCAGAGGAAACUCUGGUGGAGGCUCGCAGCGGUUCUGACGUGCAAAUCGAUCGUCAAACAUGGGCAUGGGGGCGAAAGACUAAUCGAACCUUCUAGUAGCUGGUUUCCGCC
This 900-nucleotide ribosomal RNA is filed under the name Ophiocordyceps arborescens. Its description in RNAcentral is "LSU rRNA". It matches the Rfam family "Eukaryotic large subunit ribosomal RNA", at positions 40 to 962 of the family's 3401-position model. Lineage: Eukaryota; Fungi; Ascomycota; Sordariomycetes; Hypocreales; Ophiocordycipitaceae. The record is from RNAcentral.